Molecule: long non-coding RNA, 2007 nt
Filed under: Nicotiana benthamiana
Lineage: Eukaryota; Viridiplantae; Streptophyta; Magnoliopsida; Solanales; Solanaceae
Description: long non-coding RNA (NBEN_LNC015033)
Source: RNAcentral
ACAAGCAAUGCCAUGGACGGACCUACUACAAGCAUACCAACUCAUAACUAAAACACAUUCCUUACGUAUAUGGGAUAAGAGCCAUUUGGAUUGGCUUAUUUUAAGUGCUUUGAAGCCAAAAUAGCUUUUAAGUCAUUUUGUAGUGUUUGGAUAAGUAAAAAGUGCUUUUAAGUAGUUGUUUUUAAGCUAAAUUGACAAAAAUAAGCCAAAAGUCAAAAGCUAGAAUUCCUAACUUGUGACUUUUGGCUUAAAAGUCACUUACAACAAGCCCAACAAGUCAAUCAUUGUUCCUUAGUAGUUAUUUCACUCACUAGCUAUUAGGUAUUAUUUUAUUUUCUGAACUCAAAUAAUGUCACAUUAGUUAUUCGUUAUUUAGCCCAGACUUGAGUUCUCCCUCACUCGACUUUUUUAAGAUGCUGAUCAGCAUGCACACUGCUUUAUUUUAUGUCUGACAACCCUAGAAUGAUUUUCCUGUGUCCAUACGGUUCUACAUUUCCACUUUAUCAUGCUCUAUUGUUAUAAUAACUGCUUUGUUGUGGGAACUCGUUUUAGGUCAUACUAUGCAUUUGCUUUACUUGAUACACUUCAUUGUCUUAGUUUGCAAUUGUAUGUAGUUUUUAAUGUGCUGGAUGACGAAGAUAUGAUUUGAUUUAUUUUUGCACUAUCUCAAGGUGUGGUUGCGAAAUUUCCACUGUUGAUCAUGGUCAAGGUAUUACAACAACAACUAUCCAGUAUAGUCCCACAAAGUGGGGUCUGGGGAGGGUAAUAUGUAUACGAGCCUUACCCCUAUCCGAAAGGGCAGAGAGGUUGUUUCCAAUCGACCCUCGGCGGUCAGGGUAUUACCAAGCAGUUAUAUAUGGCUACAAUCACUAGACAGCAAGCCCAUAGAAUAGGUGCUAGCUUAAAACUCUGAUAUGGUACAGAUACAUUUUCAAUCCUAGUAAUGCAGUAUAUCAUGUUUAUCAGUUUUGGGAUCAAUCAUAGGUCUCAUUACUAACCAGUUGGUGGCAAUUCAAACAAGGGAUGCAACAGGAGGACUUCUUCUUGUGGUGGGUAAACAUCCUACUAUCGCUCGCUCAAACAUGUUUACCUUCAAAGUUCUGACUGGAUCCAUUUAAUUAGUGUUGGUAUGAUCGCAUCCUUCAUCAUAUUCUUACUAUUUUUACUCUAGAUCAAGUGAAUUACUGUUGGUACGAUUGCAUCCUUCAUCAUAAUUUUACUAUUUUUACGCUAUCUUCUUGGCCUUUUACCUAUCACAUUCAUUCUUAUCUGUCUUGAGACCGACUAUGAUUGCGAAAUGGCAUAGAUGAAGUUUAGUCCCAUCUUGGGUUAUUAUAACGAUUUCUAUUUCCUUUUCACAAUAAUAUAACGUUUUUCUUACUAAUCAUGGAAUGUAGAGCAUUUCUUCUUUUAUGGUUCCUGUAUCCUACAUUGUGUGGCGAGGCUACCUUCACUUGUCAUUGAAAUGAUGGUUUUUCUUUUAACUAUUCUGUUCCUUAUUUUGAUGAAGUAACCUAUUUAUACUAGCUGCGGAUAGGAAAGAUUCUACUUCACCUGGAGAUCAUAACUAGCCCAGAUAGGGCUGUUGCUGGAUCAUGCCAAUCUUGUUAUUGCAUGCAUUAUGAUCAGGUAAACAAGUCUGUCCUUUUUUCUUACUUCUUUUAUGCGUGUGGGUGCAUUCAACUACUUAGCUAAAGUAAUAAAGUUAUGCCUUAUGAUGACAGGGUUUGGUGGGGGAGGAUUUGAGCAUUUGUGAUCGAAGGUGGCCGUCUUGUUCACAACAUUGGCCUAGUUUAACCUUGUUCUAUUUGUUAUCUUUCUGGAUCAUGAAUAGAGUGAUCUCAUCUUAACUUAGUAGCAUGACAAUAUUGUGCUACAGUGACUCCGUCAUAAUUAAGUAAAUGAACAUGGACGAAUACAAGAGGAAAGAAAUGUUUAGAACAUAUGUAAUUAGUUAAUAUUUUCUUCAGGAGCCUGAAUUGUAUGUUAUGUAGGGCAAGGAGAUGG